RNAcentral lists this ribosomal RNA (251 nucleotides) under uncultured prokaryote. Its description in RNAcentral is "partial 16S rRNA". It matches the Rfam family "Bacterial small subunit ribosomal RNA", at positions 525 to 775 of the family's 1533-position model. The record is from RNAcentral.
ACGGGGGGUGCAAGCGUUGUUCGGAAUUAUUGCGCGUAAAGAGCGUGUAGGCGGCUGAAUAAGUCAGAUGUGAAAUCCCUGGGCUUAACCCAGGAAGAGCAUUUGAAACUAUUCAGCUUGAGUAGGGGAGAGGAAAGUGGAAUUCCUGGUGUAGAGGUGAAAUUCGUGGAGAUCAGGAGGAGCAUCGGUGGCGAAGGCGACUUACUGGCCCUAUACUGACGCUGAGGCGCGAGAGCGUGGGUAGCAAACAG